RNAcentral lists this ribosomal RNA (506 nucleotides) under uncultured bacterium. RNAcentral describes it as "partial 16S ribosomal RNA". It matches the Rfam family "Bacterial small subunit ribosomal RNA", at positions 29 to 523 of the family's 1533-position model. The record is from RNAcentral.
AGUGAACGCUGGCGGCAGGCCUAACACAUGCAAGUCGAACGGCAGCACAGGAGAGCUUGCUCUCUGGGUGGCGAGUGGCGGACGGGUGAGGAAUACAUCGGAAUCUACUCUGUCGUGGGGGAUAACGUAGGGAAACUUACGCUAAUACCGCAUACGACCUACGGGGGAAAGCAGGGGACCUUCGGGCCUUGCGCGAUUGAAUGAGCCGAUGUCGGAUUAGCGAGUUGGCGGGGUAAAGGCCCACCAAGGCGACGAUCCGUAGCUGGUCUGAGAGGAUGAUCAGCCACACUGGAACUGAGACACGGUCCAGACUCCUACGGGAGGCAGCAGUGGGGAAUAUUGGACAAUGGGCGCAAGCCUGAUCCAGCCAUACCGCGUGGGUGAAGAAGGCCUUCGGGUUGUAAAGCCCUUUUGUUGGGAAAGAAAUCCAGCUGGCUAAUACCCGGUUGGGAUGACGGUACCCAAAGAAUAAGCACCGGCUAACUUCGUGCCAGCCGCCGCAGUAA